This 248-nucleotide ribosomal RNA is filed under the name uncultured bacterium. RNAcentral's name for it is "partial 16S ribosomal RNA". It matches the Rfam family "Bacterial small subunit ribosomal RNA", at positions 99 to 334 of the family's 1533-position model. The record is from RNAcentral.
CAGACGGGUGAGUAACACGUGGGUACCUGCCCCCGAGUGGGGAAUAACCCAGGGAAACUUGGGCUAAUACCGCAUGACAUCGUUUUCUCCCUGGAGAGAGCGAUUAAAGCUGGGGAUCGAAAGACCUAGCGCUUGGGGAGGGGCCCGCGUCUGACUAGCUUGUUGGUGGGGUAAAGGCCUACCAAGGCUUCGAUCAGUAGCCGGCCUGAGAGGGUGAUCGGCCACACUGGAACUGAGACACGGUCCAG